CUCAAACAAAAGUUGGUCAUCUCAUCAGAUGCAAGGCUUCCAUUGAAAGCAGAGGCUGUGUGGUUCCCUUUGUGAGAUCAUCUGAGAUAAAUCUUGCGAUGCGACAUGUCAUUGCCUUGUGACUUUCGGCACUCCACUUCACUGGAAGCUUCUUGUGAUGGGCGACAUUGCCGCUCAGUAUUGAGGGGCCCCAGACCCCCCCCCCGAAGAAAUUGGGCGGAGAAGCCAAAGUCCCUUGCCCACCCAUCCCCAGUUGGCACACCAGACAGCAGGCAAUUCUUAUAAGUGGAACGACUGAUUUUGAAGAAAAGGCCAGCCAAAAUUCUAACACUUAUUCAUCCCAGUAAUACUUUAUUUAAAAAAUUGGUUGGAUGGGGUGGUUUGCAAUAUAUAUAUAUAUAUAUAUAUAUAUAUAUAUAUAUAUUCAAAUCAGGUGAAUUAUAAGAACUGUCUUUAAAUAUGAGGUCGCCUUGAUAUUUGUAAUACAGUCGUAACUUGGAAAUUGAACAGAGCCGUCUUUCCCAUAGGGCUUAGUGGUGCGUUGCGCUAGGACGCCGGCCUCUCAGGGGUGCCCCAGCAAGUGGGGGAGCUGCACGGCUUUGCCGGCAGCCUCCCCUUUCCCUGCAGACCCACCAGCUGCACCCCUCCAUCCAUAAGGCUGGCAGGUGUGCAGCUUCCCUCCAAGCCUCCUCGAGAGGCGAGCGAUCCCUGCAGAGGCUUAGGAUGGAAGCUGCGCCCCACCAACCAUAUGGCUGGUGGAUACGUAGCUUCUCUCCCAAGCCUCUGCGGGGAUUGCUCCCCAUGGCUGGCAGUGCGCAGCUACGGCCACCCCAACACUGUCAAUGGUAAUUUGGGGGCGCUGGAUGGAUUGCACCCCGACACCGCAUCUGCUAAAGACGGCCCUGAAGUUGAAUGUAAUCCUUUCCAGAAGUCCGUUAGACUUCCAAAACAGUGCGGCUUCUGAUUGGUUGCAGGAAGCUCCUGCAGCCAAUUGGAAGUCGUGCCAGACGUUCAGGUUCCAAAGAACCUUCGCAAACCAGAAAACUCACUUCUGAAUUUGCGGCGUUCAGGAGCCAAAACAUUUGAGAACUAAGAUAUUCAAAAACCAAGGUACGACUGUACAAUGAAUGGAGAUAGAUAUCUCCUGGGUGCUUCCUUCGACACGCACAACCUAAACGCUUCCACCCCGGAAUUCCAUGUCUCCUACGUUCCACUACAAAAGCACACUUUCUGCCAUUGCAGAUUGCAAGCCUCCUUUUGUCUCCUGGCCAGCCUUGGCUCAGCGUUGGGGCUUUCCAAGACACGAGUUCUUCCGCACACGCUUUCCGCAGGCUUUGAGUUACGACCUACAGCUCCGGUGCCGUAAAUAUCCACUCAAUAUGUGCGCUGGCCCACGAUUGGCCGCCGCUGGAAAAUGAGCAAGGCAUGUUGAUGAGGGACGGGAAAUGACGGCUCCAGAGAGAACAAUAAAAACCAGGCAGGAGAUGCUACGACGGCAUGCAAGAGAGCUGAGGGAAGGGAGUUGUUGGAGGGGGGUCUGCCUUUAUAUAUAUAUUUAUAUAUAUAUUUAUUUAUAUAUUUAUUUCUUUUUACUAGCAGCCUUUCUGCCUAAUUACUGCCUGCCGUAAAAUAAUCUGGUUUAUUGCUCCCAUCCAAGGCAGGAAGAAUUUUCCCUGAGAGCGCUGCAUGCAGUGUGCCGCUGCGCUAGAGAGGAAAUACUUUUGCCGAGUGCUCUGUAUAUAUAGAUUGCCUAAAAACGUUAGUCGAUUUGCAUUAAAAAUGGCGUUUGCUCCUUAAGUGGUCCCUGCCUUUAGUUAGGUUGUUUCCCCCUUUGCUUCCUGGUGAGCAAAGAUGGCUUCCGCUAUUUGCCCGCAGGGCAUUGUGUCCGGAACAGCCGUUGCCAACCUGGGGCCCACCUGAUGUUUUGAACUACAACUCCCGUCAGAGCUGUCUGUUUUCAUUAAUCCAUCAAAAUGGGUUGGUAAAGAGGUAAGGUAAAGGAUCCCUGGAUGGUUAAGUCCAGUCAAAUAAUAAUCAUAGUAUAAUAAUAAUUUAUUAUUUAUACCCCACCCAUCUGGCUGAGUUUCCCCAGCCACUCUGGGCGGCUCCCAAUCAAGUGUUAAAAACUGUACAGCAUUAAAUAUUAAAAACUUCCCUGAACAGGACUGCCUUCAGAUGUCUUUUAAAGAUAGGAUAGCUGCUUAUUUCCUUCACAUCUGAAGGGAGGGUGUUCCACAGGGUGGGCGCCACUACCGAGAAGGCCCUCUGUCUGGUUCCCUGUAACCUCACUUCUCGCAACGAGUAAACCACCAGAAGGCCCUUGGCGCUGGAUCUCAGUGUCCGGGCUGAACGAUACCUUCAGGUAUACAGGAUAUGGGAUAUGAUCUCUGCUUUCAGGCUGAGGGAGCCGACGUUUGUCUGCAGACAUCUUUUCCAGUUCAUGUGGCCAGCAUGACUAAACUGCUUCUGGCUCACGGAGGACUAUGACGAGUGCCAGAGUCCCCGGAAACACCGUUUACCUUCCCACCGUAGCAGUACCUAUUUAUUUACUCAUGCUUUCGAACUUCUAGGUUGGCAGGAGCUGGGACAGAGCAACGGGAACUCACCCCGUCGCGCGGAUUCAAACUGCUGACCUUACAAUCGGCAAGCCCAAGAGGCUUGGUGGUUUAGACCAUGGCGCCACCUGCGUCCCUUAUCACAAUGGUAUGUCUAUGGGGACAGGGAGGUGAUCUGAUCUGCUAGCUACUGAGGCAAGCAGCCACCUUGCCCUGAUUAGUGUCCACUGGUGAGCCGCCAUUUUCAAUUUCCCACAGUGCCUCCAGUUUAGCAUCACUCUGGGGUCAUUGCAGGGGAAUUGAAACAGUGCUUGUUUGUUUGUUAUUUGCCUGGUGCUAAUCAGUGGGCCCAGAGCAGGUGUCAGUACUGGGCCUGCUGGGUCUCUGGGUACCGCCUGAAGAUGCCUCGUGCUGAUGUCAAGCCUAUGCCUGCAGCACGAAAAGUGACAGAUUCUUUGGGGAAUAAUGCUUUGCAACGGGUACAGCUGAAUGCAUCAACCGGUCGUCAGUUUUCCUCCUAAUCACAUUCUUUCAGACAACAUUUCAAAAAGAGCCUCUGUUCCCAGUUGGAUAACCUGGACGUGUGGCCUGCAAGCAGGUCUCGGGGUUCUUUUUCUCCCUCUGUUUGUGUGUGUGUGUUUCCUCCCCCCACCCCACCCGCAAAUAUGCAAAUUUGUUCUUGGAAAAUCGUCAACUAAUUUGACUCCGUUCGGGCUGACACGGUCCUGCUUGCCAACAGUUACAUUUGCAUACUAAUUCGCCUCCCCUCCAUUCAUUGAGAAAUGGAUGCAAAUGAUUUAUCAUUCGCCUGAUACCUUGCCUGAAUGUAGAAGGGGAAAUUGCUGCAGUGUCUCAGGCAGCGUGAAGAAAGCCUCUCAAAAUGGGCUUGCCUCUAAUCUAAUCGCAUCAGCUAUAAAGCACCUGGUUCUUUAUAGCCCCCCCUUGCCCCCCCGAUCCAGCUCCCAAGUUCUCUAUAGGGUUACUACAAUUCCCUUCAUAUCAACUAGUUGUGUGUUCUAGAUGGAGAACAGUAGUAUAUACACUGUACAUUUCAAGCCUUUAGGAGGGCCAGCUGCAAUUGGCUCUGAUCAUCGCUGCUGUUAAAAAAAAAACACCUGCCCCAUAAUUUGACUUUGCAAAGGCCUAGUGUAAAAGGUAAAAGGUGAAGGACCCCUGGGCAGUUAAGUCCAGUCAAAGGCAACUAUGGGGUUGCGGCGUUCAUCUCGCUUUCAGGCCAAGGGAGCCGGCAUUUGUCCACAGACAGCUUUCUGGGUUGUGUGGCCAGUGUGACUAAACCGCUUCUGGUACAAUGAAACACCGUGGCAGAAGCCAGAGCACAUGGAAAUGCCAUUUACCGUGUGGUGCUGUGGUCUAAACCUUUUGGGCUUGCUGAUCGGAAGGUUGGCGGUUUGAAUCCCCGUGAUGGGGUGAGCUCCCGUUGCUCUAUCACAGCUCCUGCCAACCUAGCAGUUCAAAGCACACCAGUGCAAGUAGAUAAAUAGGUAUCGCUGUGCCGGGAAGAUAAACGGCGUUUCUGUGCACUCUGGUUUCCAUCACAGUGUCCUGUUGUGCCAGAAGCGGUUUAGUUCUGCUGGCCACAUGACCCGGAAAGCUGUCUGUGGACCAACGCCAGCUCCUUCAGCCUGAUGGCAGAGAUGAGAGCCUUUGAGUGGACUUAAAGGGUUGUAAAGACUGUGGAGAGAAUAACUGGGUGCACUCUUCCCACCUUGGAUCAAAUCUAUGCUUCCAGGUGCCAUAAGAAAGCUGCAGAGAUAGCGCAGGAUAGUGCGCACCCCAGAAAUGAUCUCUUUCAGCUUCUGCCUUCUGGAAGAAGGUACAGGGUUACAAACCGCCUGAGAAACAGUUUCUACCCAAAUGUGAUUUUGGUUUUAAACGCAGUGUAAGGAGUCUCUAUGGGAGUAUACUGUAUUUAAAAAUGGGGUAUCAAAGUUUUUAGAGGGCUAACCAGGUUGGGAUAGCUGGGAUAGCAGGCUUGUUGGGUUUGGAAUGUUUUAUGUAGAUUUUUCAAUUUCAUUGUUCUGUAUGGGACAAUGACAAUAAAGAUUAUUGAUUAUCGAUUAUCGAUUAACCAUCCAGGGGUCCUCCAUUUCUCAUCCCACUCCCCCUGCCUUUAAGAUCAGCACUCCACAUUUCCAUUUCAGUUUGAUAGAUAUAUAUCAUACACACACACACACACACACACACACACGUCCUCACAAAAAUUCAUCAGCAUUUUAGUAUGAAUUUACCCUAAUAAACACAAAUUGCAAAGCAAUUGUAUAUUCCUGCAUGGCAGGAGGUUAGACUAGGUGGCCCUUGGAGACCCAAACCAAUGUUGUCAAGUUACAGGAAAGGAGAUUCUUACUAAAUAUCAGGAAGUACUUUUUGUAAGAGCUGCUUGAUAGUGGGACAGACUCCCUCAGGAGGUGAUGGACUCUCCUUCCUCGGAGGUUUAAUUAAUUAAUUAAUUAAUUAAUUUUAAAAAAUUGGUUUUCAAAAUUAAAAAAAAAUUGGUCCAAAUUAUUUAAAUUUAAUACAAUUUCUUUUAAAAAAUUAGGUUUCCCCUCUCCUGUUGCAAACAUAUGUCCGUUACUUCCUGACGUAGCCGCUUCAUUCUUCUUUAAUCUCCUCUUCAUCCUUCUCUUGAUGUUAAUCCAUUCUCACACGGCUGACCUUUCUAGUUCCCUUACUCAGCACCUCUGUAACUUUUCAAAAAUAUAAAAUCCAUUUCACAUGUGUAGUCUUCAUAAACAUUUUCCCAGACCUGGUGUGUUGAGACAGAUAGAUUGUUUACACAGUUUUGUCUACUUGAAGAAGCCAUGGUCUGAUCAGAAAAUUACAAAUAUUUAGGUUACAAAACAAUAAAAAUAAAGAAAAAUUAAGUUUGCAAAACAAUAAUUACCAUGUGGUUAAGGUAGAUCAACGUGUCAGUGUCCACUUAUCCCCAGUGUAAAUAUGACAUAUCGGAAAUUGAAAGAUAACUCUAGCAUGUACACGAAAAUCGAUUUCAGAUUUGAAAUCAGCAUUGAAAGAACAUAUAAGAACAGUUGAAAAAUCUCAUGCAACAGAAAAUGAAAAAAAGUUUGUUCCCCAGUGUAAUUGCCAUCCUCCUUUGUUCAGUUCUCUUCAAUGUUUACCUUUCUUGGAGGUUUUUAAGCAGACAUUGGAUGGCCAUUUGUCUUGUAUGUUUGAGCUGAGAUUCCUGCAUUGCAGAGGGUUGGGCUAGAUGACCCUCAGGAUCCCUUCCAACACCAUGAAUCUGUAUUAAACAGUACAGAUUCAUUUCCAAAGCUGUGGCAGUAAAACAAUAGAAUAGCUAUAGAACAAUACGACAACAGCAUGUCCGAACAAAAAUACAUCUGUGAAAAGCUCUUUGAAACAGGUGGAUUUUGAGUGCUUCAACUGUUGUAUUCAUAUAAGCCAGUAUCCAAAUAGCCUAGCCUUAUCUAGGAACAGGAAAAAGAAAGAAGCAGUUUCUGAUGAUGAACAGAAUAAUACCGCAGAAGCCUUGGCUUCAUCUGCCGCUUAUUUCCCCAGUCCAGCACUGGGUCAUCAGGUCUGCAGUCGCUGCCUCGUUUUGAUUCCCAGAUCAAAUUGCGGAUGGAAAUGUCCCUGCAAAACGACCGUGAUGCUCCCUUUGUCCUUUGCAUCAGAGAAGCACCAUCCAUUUCUAAACCACAAUGUGGGAGACAGUUCUUGAUUUGGAUACCAUGUCAGGUUGCCCAAACUAGUCACAAUAUCCAGAGAGAGAGAGAGAGAGAGAGAGAUGGAUGGAGAUGCUUUCUAUUGCUUUUUAGAAACUAGGUACAGUACUUUCCAUAAAUCCAGACUGUCACUAUUUGGGAAUGAGACUCAAUCGCAUACAACCCAAUUCAGGUUGCAGCAUUAAAGAUGAUCUGGAGCUCUUGCACAACAAACCUGCCCUCCGCCAGAAUGGGACUCUUUGCAGUUGUAAUGAGCAUUGUGAGUUUUGCAGGAGCUAGGCCCUGGCUGUUCUGACUUUAUCUGAAUCGAGUCGACAGGUACAGUCAGGUGAUGAGAUGCACUACAGCUGGGAGCAAGCCAAGGAGGACUACAUAAGACCUGCAUUUCACACUUCGUCACUAUGGGCCCUACUAAAGCAAACCGUCUAAUUGGUCAGCGUCUAAAAGAUAUCGAGCAUCAGCACAACCUGGCCACUAUAAGGAAAUUCUGACCUUGGUAUGUUCAUUUCCCACCUCCCCAUUUUGAUUCUCUGGCCCCAUAUCUGUACAAACUUAUUUUCUCAAAAUACAGACGGGCUUUUACACUUGCAAGACUGGAUGUUUUGCCAUCUGCGGUACUUGAGGGUCAUUUCCAAAAGAUCCCGCCUGAGAAACGUCUUUGCCCCUGUGGAGAUGGUAGCACCGAAACAGUGGCACACGUCUUCCUGUCUUGCACUCUCUACAGAGACCUGGGGAACGAGAUCAUCGCCCCACUCGUACUAAGCAUCCCAGGGCGCUCAGCCACUGCCACCAUGUCCUUUCUUCUAUCAGAUCAAAAAGAGCAGAUAACAGCAAAGGUUGCUAGGUUCAUAGCUGGGGCAAUCAAAAUAAGGGCCACUAACUGACAGCUGAUUCAGGACUUUAAAUUGUGCUUUUGUAUCAAAUGUCCUUUUCUGCGUAUACUGUAAUGUUUUAUUGUUGCUAUGGCCAUUGGCUAAUGCAAAUAAGGCUUUAUCUUAUCUUCGCCCUUGGUCUUUGCCACAGCAACGCGAUCUUCUGCUGACCUGUAGCUUAUUCCUGUGAUCCUUGCCUGGCUGGACUUCUCACCUGCCUAGACUCCGAUACUCUUCUGGGCCUCCUCUUCCCUCUGACCUUUGUUGGGUUUGUUGUUGCUUCCUGACCAUGGACCCGCCAGUUUGACUGCCUCUUCUCCCGCUUCCCCCAUUGAAGUUGUUGUUUGUGUGAGGCGCAUGAUGCAAACAUGUUGUUACGACAUAAGAGAAAGCAGCUUUGUGCUAGGAAACACGGCGAG
Molecule: non-coding RNA, 7550 nt
Organism: Podarcis lilfordi (Lilford's wall lizard)
Lineage: Eukaryota; Metazoa; Chordata; Lepidosauria; Squamata; Lacertidae
Source: the annotation of a GenBank genome assembly